GCGAACGGCUCAUUAUAACAGCUAUAAUUUACUAGACCUUGACCAGUUACUCGGAUAACUGUGGUAAUUCUAGAGCUAAUACGUGCACCGAAGUUGUCCCUCACGGGAUAAUGCAUUUAUUUGAACAAAACCAGGCGGCUUCGGCCGUUCCUGUUGAAUCAGAAUAACUAAGCUGAUCGCAUGGGCUUGUCCCGGCGACGUGUCUUUCAAGUGUCUGCCUUAUCAACUUUCGAUGGUAGUGUACGUGACUACCAUGGUGUUGACGGGUAACGGAGGAUAAGGGUUCGACUCCGGAGAAGGGGCCUGAGAAAUGGCCACUACGUCUAAGGAUGGCAGCAGGCGCGCAAAUUACCCACUCUCGGUUCGAGGAGGUAGUGACGAAAAAUAACGAGGCCGUUCUCUAUGAGGCCGGCCAUCGGAAUGGGUACAAUCUAAACCCUUUAACGAGUAUCAAUGAGAGGGCAAGUCUGGUGCCAGCAGCCGCGGUAAUUCCAGCUCUCAAAAUGCAUAGAACCAUUGCUGCGGUUAAAAAGCUCGUAGUUGGAUCUGUGCCGGCGACGUGGUCCGCCCUAACGGGAGGCACUGCGCUCGUCGGCUUUGGGCCGGUCUUCGGACGGUCGCCUUCACCGGCGGCCGCUCGUGGCUGGCUGGUUUACUUUGAGCAAAUCAGAGUGCUCAGCACAGGCGUCUCGCCGGAAUGUUCGUGCAUGGAAUAAUAGAAAAGGAUUUCGGUUCUCUUUUAUUGGUUUUGUGAACUGAGAUAAUGGUUAACAGAGACGGACGGGGGCAUUCGUAUUGCUGCGUGAGAGGUGAAAUUCUUGGACCGCAGCAGGACGGACUACAGCGAAAGCAUUUGCCAAGCACGUCUUCAUUAAUCAAGAACGAAAGUCAGAGGUUCGAAGGCGAUCAGAUACCGCCCUAGUUCUGACCGUAAA
RNAcentral lists this ribosomal RNA (935 nucleotides) under Paratylenchus sp. PB7517. RNAcentral's name for it is "SSU rRNA". It matches the Rfam family "Eukaryotic small subunit ribosomal RNA", at positions 89 to 1036 of the family's 1831-position model. Lineage: Eukaryota; Metazoa; Nematoda; Chromadorea; Rhabditida; Tylenchulidae. The record is from RNAcentral.